RNAcentral lists this unclassified non-coding RNA (380 nucleotides) under uncultured Gemmatimonadaceae bacterium. RNAcentral describes it as "contains 16S-23S intergenic spacer region". The record is from RNAcentral. Lineage: Bacteria; Pseudomonadati; Gemmatimonadota; Gemmatimonadia; Gemmatimonadales; Gemmatimonadaceae.
UCCGGUUUGGCACCGGCAGUCUUCCUAGAGUUCCCGGCAUUACCCGCUGGUAACUAGGAAUAAGGGUUGCGCUCGUUGCGGGACUUAACCCAACAUCUCACGACACGAGCUGACGACAGCCAUGCAGCAUCUGUGCACGAACUCCGAAGAGGGGCUCACGUUUCUGCGAGCUUUCUCGUGCAUGUCAAGCCCAGGUAAGGUUCUUCGCGUUGCGUCGAAUUGAACCACAUGCUCCACCGCUUGUGCGGGCCUCCGUCAAUUCCUUUGAGUUUCAGCCUUGCGGCCGUACUCCCCAGGCGGGGUACUUCAUGCGUUAGCGACGGCACCCAAGGGGUCGCUCCCCCAGACGCCUAGUACCCAUCGUUUACGGCGUGGACUAC